RNAcentral lists this ribosomal RNA (744 nucleotides) under uncultured bacterium. RNAcentral describes it as "bacterial SSU rRNA". It matches the Rfam family "Bacterial small subunit ribosomal RNA", at positions 8 to 796 of the family's 1533-position model. The record is from RNAcentral.
AGAGUUUGAUCCUGGCUCAGAGCGAACGCUGGCGGCAGGCUUAACACAUGCAAGUCGAGCGGGCGUAGCAAUACGUCAGCGGCAGACGGGUGAGUAACGCGUGGGAACGUACCUUUUGGUUCGGAACAACACAGGGAAACUUGUGCUAAUACCGGAUAAGCCCUUACGGGGAAAGAUUUAUCGCCGAAAGAUCGGCCCGCGUCUGAUUAGCUAGUUGGUGAGGUAAUGGCUCACCAAGGCGACGAUCAGUAGCUGGUCUGAGAGGAUGAUCAGCCACAUUGGGACUGAGACACGGCCCAAACUCCUACGGGAGGCAGCAGUGGGGAAUAUUGGACAAUGGGCGCAAGCCUGAUCCAGCCAUGCCGCGUGAGUGAUGAAGGCCCUAGGGUUGUAAAGCUCUUUUGUGCGGGAAGAUAAUGACGGUACCGCAAGAAUAAGCCCCGGCUAACUUCGUGCCAGCAGCCGCGGUAAUACGAAGGGGGCUAGCGUUGCUCGGAAUCACUGGGCGUAAAGGGUGCGUAGGCGGGUCUUUAAGUCAGGGGUGAAAUCCUGGAGCUCAACUCCAGAACUGCCUUUGAUACUGAGGAUCUUGAGUUCGGGAGAGGUGAGUGGAACUGCGAGUGUAGAGGUGAAAUUCGUAGAUAUUCGCAAGAACACCAGUGGCGAAGGCGGCUCACUGGCCCGAUACUGACGCUGAGGCACGAAAGCGUGGGGAGCAAACAGGAUUAGAUACCCCUGUAGUCC